RNAcentral lists this long non-coding RNA (1946 nucleotides) under Homo sapiens (human). RNAcentral describes it as "HSALNT0294722". Lineage: Eukaryota; Metazoa; Chordata; Mammalia; Primates; Hominidae. The record is from RNAcentral.
AAAGUGUUGGGAUUACAGGCGUGAGCUACCGCGCCCAGCUGAAGAAACUGCAUUCUCAGACCGACUUGGUUCCUUGGUGUGGUCUUUGGACUCAUUGGCGUUAGUUCUGAAAAACAUCUCAAAUGAAAAGUUGUAAGGCUCCUAAAGUCAAAGUUCCUAUCUACAAGAACAAUAAGUAAAUUCAUGGUUUAUGUCCUGGCCUACAUGGUCCAUAAGAGGCUAUAGGGAAAUGAGUCAUAGGACAACCUGACUAAUGCUUAAUCUAUACUUUUAUCUAAAGCCUGGCAUGUAAUUAUUGUUAACACUAUGGGGAAGGUUUAACAGGGAAGGUCUCUCUGACCUUCCCCUGACUUUCUCCCAUGAAGCAGGCCCUAAAAGAAUUCUCUGACCUUCUUACAAAAUAAGGUCAUAAGACCCUAUUUGCAGGGCCUCCUUCCUAUACCCAGAAGAAAAGAAUGAAGACGCAGAGAUGCCAAGAAGCUGUGAAUAAACAGGCCUUGUUAAGUUCUCUCCAGUUUGUUACCAUUACUGUAGCAGGACAAGUCGCAGACAAAACUCCUAGGACACCGGAUUAAAGAAGGAAGAGGUUUUUAUUGGGCUGGGAGUGUCAGCAGACUCGCGUCUUAAGAGCUGAGCUCCCCAAAAAAGAAAUUCCUAGCCCUUUUAAGGGCUUACAACUCUAAGGGGUCCACGUGAAAAGGUCGUAAUAGAUCAAGUAAGUGUGAGGAACGUGACUAGGGGCUACAUACAUCAGCUAACAGAACAAAAAGUUUUACAGUGCUUUCACAUACAAUGUCUGGAAUUUACAGAUAACACUAGUAGUUUUGGUCAGGGGUUAAUAUUAUUAUUAUUAUUAUUAUUCUUUUAACCACCAGGGCCAGGUGGUGGCGCCAAGGUCGUCUAGUUAUUUAUCUUAUUUCUGUUUCUUUCCAACUUUUUGCUUUCUCCCUUUUCUCCUGUCUUAUAAACUAGGGAAAAGGGGAGGUUGGGGAGAAGCUGGGAAGGACAACAGGAGAAGUGGUGGUCUCAUUCUAUUAGAUCAUACCCACUUUUGUCCAAUCAUACUGUAUGAUAGUCCACUCUACACGAACCUAAGCAUAAAAAUACCGUUUUUUUUCUGUUUCUUUGGGUCUUCAUUUCCUUAUUAAGUCUCUCAUAUGAUGUAAAACUUAUUAAAUAAAUUUGUAUGCUUUUCUCUUGUAUUUAAUAUUUUGUUAUAGGGAUCUCUGCCACAAACCUAGGGUGAUACUAGAUAAAGAUGCUAAUUUUCUCCCCUACAGUGACUUUAGAGAUUAGGACCUAAAGGCUUGGUGGCUUCCCUCUCACUGUCUCCUGGAUCUCUCAUUCUGGUGGGAGUUAGGCGCCAUGUCAUGAGGACAUUCAAGGAGCCCUCUGGGGAGUUCCCAUUGUGAGGAGCUGAGGCUUCCUGACAACAACCAACACCAACUCGCCAGGAGAGGAGAAGAGCAGAAGACAAGGGAAGCAGAUCAGGUUUGUAGGUAUUAUCUCCAAUGUACCUGUGAAGAAACUAAGGCCUGGAAGAGUUCAGCGAUUUGCCUACAGUAACACAGCAACUUUAGAGACCAUCUGCAUUCCUUGAGUUGUGGCUUCUUCCUCCAUCUUCAAAACCAGCAACAACAGAUAAGUCCUUCUUAGAUUGCUUCACUCUGACCUCCUCUCUGUCACCUUCUUCCAUUUUAAGGACUCUUGAUUAUACUCGGUUCACCCAGACAAUCCAGGAUAAUCUCCCUAUUUUAAGGCCAGCUGAUUAGCAACAUUAAUUCUAUCUGUCACCUUAAUUAUCCUUUGUCAUAUUACAUAACAUAUUCACAGGUUUCAAGGAUUAAAACAUGGACAUCUUUGGGAGGGGGUGCUUAUAGUGUCCACCACAGCGGCCCUCUUCAAGAAAAGAAUAAAAAGUUAAAAUUAUAAAAUUAGAUACGAUC